AAUACAACUCUCGGCAACGGAUAUCUCGGCUCUCGCAUCGAUGAAGAACGUAGCGAAAUGCGAUACUUGGUGUGAAUUGCAGAAUCCCGUGAACCAUCGAGUCUUUGAACGCAAGUUGCGCCCCAAGCCAUUAGGCUGAGGGCACGUCUGCCUGGGUGUCACGC
Molecule: ribosomal RNA, 164 nt
Filed under: Aglaia elaeagnoidea
Lineage: Eukaryota; Viridiplantae; Streptophyta; Magnoliopsida; Sapindales; Meliaceae
Description: 5.8S ribosomal RNA
Rfam family: 5.8S ribosomal RNA
About the family: 5.8S ribosomal RNA (5.8S rRNA) is a component of the large subunit of the eukaryotic ribosome. It is transcribed by RNA polymerase I as part of the 45S precursor that also contains 18S and 28S rRNA.
Source: RNAcentral